This 505-nucleotide ribosomal RNA is filed under the name uncultured bacterium. RNAcentral describes it as "partial 16S ribosomal RNA". It matches the Rfam family "Bacterial small subunit ribosomal RNA", at positions 28 to 507 of the family's 1533-position model. The record is from RNAcentral.
GACGAACGCUGGCGGCGUGCCUAAUACAUGCAAGUCGAACGCACAGUUUAUACCGUAGCUUGCUACACCAUAGACUGUGAGUUGCGAACGGGUGAGUAACGCGUAGGUAACCUGCCUGGUAGCGGGGGAUAACUAUUGGAAACGAUAGCUAAUACCGCAUAAUAUUGAUUAUUGCAUGAUAAUUGAUUGAAAGAUGCUAUUGCAUCACUACCAGAUGGACCUGCGUUGUAUUAGCUAGUAGGUGAGGUAACGGCUCACCUAGGCGACGAUACAUAGCCGACCUGAGAGGGUGAUCGGCCACACUGGGACUGAGACACGGCCCAGACUCCUACGGGAGGCAGCAGUAGGGAAUCUUCGGCAAUGGACGAAAGUCUGACCGAGCAACGCCGCGUGAGUGAAGAAGGUUUUCGGAUCGUAAAGCUCUGUUGUAAGAGAAGAACGGGUGUGAGAGUGGAAAGUUCACACUGUGACGGUAUCUUACCAGAAAGGGACGGCUAACUACGUG